GUGAGGCUGAGUUAUGGGGGUUAGUGGGGAGGGGGAAUAGGGUGGAGAAGGUUGAAAAAGAGUUUUGAAAAAUGAGUUCAUGAUAGGGAAAAUAUUUUUCUUCAAUUGGAGUAAAAUGAGUUCAUGAGGAAAAUGUUUUCUAAAACAUUUAAGCCAACCAAACAUAGAUAAAUUGGAAAACAUUUUCCGGCAAAUGUUUUCCCUCACGCCAAACACACCCUCUAUCUUGUUAUCUUUUGCGUACAUGCAAUUUAAAUAAAUUUUUGUGAGUACACACAUAUCUUUGUGUUUACUCAAAUGAUGUUAAAGUCAUUUUCUCUUAAUCAUCUGCAUCCAUCUUUAAAAAGCGCCAACACGAUGAGACAGUUGAAUAGGUAUGAUGUGAGAAUCUUAAAAUCUAGCAAGAACAGCUCAACAACAACAACAACUACCAAGCCGCAGCGGACAAGGAGAGCUUACGGCAUUUGGACGCGAAGGGCAAAGCAACACCGGACGAAGUGUGCAAGAGCUAGCGGUAGUUGAUCUCGGGCGAAUCAAAGCAUACUUCCAGGUUCUUCCAUCGGGAGUUGGUACCUCCCGACCUCCUUUUUUUACUCUGUACACCCUUUUACGUUUUAUAUCUAAGCACCCUGUGUGUGGUUUACUUAGUUGAUUCCUAGCUUUCAUCCUUUUGCCUGUAGUACGUGGGUGCAUCACUGUUUUCCGUAAUCGGUUGGGGAUAGUGGCCGCGGCGGGAGNN
RNAcentral lists this long non-coding RNA (739 nucleotides) under Nicotiana benthamiana. Its description in RNAcentral is "long non-coding RNA (NBEN_LNC020007)". Lineage: Eukaryota; Viridiplantae; Streptophyta; Magnoliopsida; Solanales; Solanaceae. The record is from RNAcentral.